UUCGCAAUGCCCGAAAGGGUGACGAAGCGACGCCGCGUGUGGGGAGAAGGCCUUCGGGUUGUAAACCACUGUCGGGAGUUAAGAAAUGCAAGGGUGCUAAUAGUAUCCUUGCUUGACUAAGGCCCCGGAGGAAGCCACAGCUAACUCUGUGCCAGCAGCCGCGGUAAUACAGAGGCGGCAAGCGUUGUUCGGAAUUAUUGGGCGUAAAGAGCACGUAGGCGGCUAUGUAAGUCGGUUGUGAAAGCCUUCCGCUCAACGGAAGAACAGCAUCCGAUACUGCAUGGCUUGAGUGCGGGAGGGGAGAGUGGAACUUCUGGUGGAGCGGUGAAAUGCGUAGAUAUCAGAAGGAACGCCGGCGGCGAAAGCGGCUCUCUGGCCCAUAACUGACGCUGAGUGUGCGAAAGCUAGGGGAGCAAACGGGAUUAGAUACCCCGGUAGUCCUAGCCGUAAACGAUGGGCACUAAGUAGAGGGGUUUU
Molecule: ribosomal RNA, 477 nt
Filed under: uncultured anaerobic ammonium-oxidizing bacterium
Lineage: Bacteria
Description: bacterial SSU rRNA
Rfam family: Bacterial small subunit ribosomal RNA
Source: RNAcentral